Molecule: transfer RNA, 70 nt
Filed under: Nihonogomphus semanticus
Lineage: Eukaryota; Metazoa; Arthropoda; Insecta; Odonata; Gomphidae
Description: tRNA-Thr
Rfam family: tRNA
About the family: Transfer RNA (tRNA) molecules are approximately 80 nucleotides in length.
Source: RNAcentral
GUUUAAGUAGUUUAUUAUAAAACAUUGGUCUUGUAAACCAAAAUAGAGAACAUUUAAUUCUCCUUUAACU